Long non-coding RNA from Dromaius novaehollandiae (emu), 610 nucleotides. RefSeq lists it as uncharacterized. The transcript is spliced from 3 exons. The record is from RefSeq and is a predicted model, not a curated record. NCBI's taxonomy places the organism in Eukaryota, Metazoa, Chordata, Aves, Casuariiformes, Dromaiidae.
GGUUUUUCUUUUGGCCAAGGGUGAAGACUCGGACUGGACACGCACUGGUGCUUGUUAGGAGCAGAUUGGGGAGAAAAGCAUCCCAGACCAAUUCCCGCUCUUGGUUACUGAUCACUUUCAUGACCCUGGCUCCAGCAUUGCCCUACAAAAAGUUGCAUCUGCACAACCUGGGGGAAUGUCAAAGUGAAGACAUGAGAAGCCAGGGAUGGAGAGGAGACGGGCGCCAGUGUACCAUGUGCCAUCCUUCAGCCUGUGGCUCUGAGAAGAUGACUGUGAUCUUCAGAAGUGGAAGCCAUGAAAUGCCAGAUUUGGGGCCCAGAGAACGGGGCUCUCCACCAGAGCGAAGGGAUGGGGACAACCGCUGGAGGGCUUUGGCAUGGAGAGCAGAUAGCCCCCCCCGGCAGCACGCUCACCCCAUGAACCGCUUCUGCGCACACCCUGUGGGGCAGCGAAAGCUGGGUGUCGGGGCCGAGUAAAGGUUUCGACCGGUUCCUUCACCUAGCACGUCUGUGUUGGCGUGGCAAAUGCUCGUGUUUCUGUUUUGUUAUGCAGGGGCAGAUCACCUUGGGUGUAAAUCCACUGGCAUAGACAGAGCUGCACCGUGGGUGAU